GUUUUGUGAAAUCCCCCGGCUUAACCGGGGAGUUGCUUGGCGAACUGCUGGUCUUGAGGCAAAUAGGGGUGCAUGGAACUCUUGGUGGAGCGGUGGAAUGCGUAGAUAUCAAGAGGAACGCCAGCGGCGAAAGCGGUGCACUGGAUUUGUCCUGACGCUCAGAUACGAAAGCGUGGGGAGCAAACGGGAUUAGAUACCCCGGUAGUCCACGCCCUAAACGAUGCCUACUAGGUUGUAGAACCUCUGACGGUUUUACGGCCGAAGCAAAAGUGUUAAGUAGGCCGCCUGGGAAGUACGGUCGCAAGGCUAAAACUCAAAGGAAUUGACGGGGGCUCACACAAGCGGUGGAGUAUGUGGAUUAAUUCGAAGCAACGCGCAGAACCUUACCUGGGUUUGACAUGGUUGGAUGCCUAUCUGGAAACAGAGUCGGUUGCCCGCAAGGGUGAAACUUCCACAGGUGCUGCAUGGCUGUCGUCAGCUCGUGUCGUGAGAUGUCGGGUUAAGUCCUCUAACGAGCGAAACCCUUGUCAUUAGUUACCAUCAGUUCAGCUGGGGACUCUAAUGAGACUGCCGGUGUUAAACCGGAGGAAGGUGGGGAUGACGUCAAGUCCUCAUGGCCUUUAUGCCCAGGGCCUCACACGUACUACAAUGGCGGAUACAAAGCGAUGCAAGACCGCAAGGUGGAGCAAAUCGCAUAAAGUUCGCCCCAGUUCAGAUUGCAGGCUGCAAUUCGCCUGCAU
RNAcentral lists this ribosomal RNA (740 nucleotides) under uncultured Planctomycetota bacterium. RNAcentral's name for it is "bacterial SSU rRNA". It matches the Rfam family "Bacterial small subunit ribosomal RNA", at positions 589 to 1321 of the family's 1533-position model. The record is from RNAcentral. Lineage: Bacteria; Pseudomonadati; Planctomycetota.